Molecule: ribosomal RNA, 450 nt
Filed under: uncultured Glomeromycotina
Lineage: Eukaryota; Fungi; Glomeromycota
Description: SSU rRNA
Rfam family: Eukaryotic small subunit ribosomal RNA
Source: RNAcentral
AGCAGCCGCGGUAAUUCCAGCUCCAAUAGUGUAUAUUAAAGUUGUUGCAGUUAAAAAGCUCGUAGUUGAAUUUCGGGGUUAGUAGGCUGGUCGUGCCACAGGUAUGUACUGGUCUUACUGAUUCCUCCUUCCUGAUGAACCGUAAUGCCAUUAAUUUGGUGUUGCGGGGAAACUGGACUGUUACUUUGAAAAAAUUAGAGUGUUUAAAGCAGGCUAACGCUUGAAUACAUUAGCAUGGAAUAACGAAAUAGGACGAUCGAUCUUAUUUUGUUGGUUUCUAGGAUUGACGUAAUGAUUAAUAGGGAUAGUUGGGGGCAUUAGUAUUCAAUUGUCAGAGGUGAAAUUCUUGGAUUUAUUGAAGACUAACUACUGCGAAAGCAUUUGCCAAGGAUGUUUUCAUUAAUCAAGAACGAAAGUUAGGGGAUCGAAGACGAUCAGAUACCGUCGUAG